UGACCCCAUGCCGAACUCAGAAGUGAAACGCCGUAGCGCCGAUGGUAGUGUGGGGUCUCCCCAUGUGAGAGUAGGGAACUGCCAGAC
Molecule: ribosomal RNA, 87 nt
Filed under: Acinetobacter baumannii
Lineage: Bacteria; Pseudomonadati; Pseudomonadota; Gammaproteobacteria; Moraxellales; Moraxellaceae
Also listed under: 3 other names
Source: RNAcentral